Molecule: long non-coding RNA, 183 nt
Filed under: Amphimedon queenslandica
Lineage: Eukaryota; Metazoa; Porifera; Demospongiae; Haplosclerida; Niphatidae
Description: uncharacterized LOC109587626, transcript variant X1
Source: RNAcentral
AUUCUGUUAACUAAUGGAGCUAGAACUAAUGUUGUGUCUAAAUAUUUUGGUACUCCACUACACUGUGCUAUUGAAACUGGUAAUGCUAAUAUUAUCAAAUUAUUAAUAACUAAAGGAAAAGCUGAUGUGAAUGCUGUGAAUAAGGACAACAGAACUCCAUUGUUUAAUGCUGUUGAGAGUGGU